This 397-nucleotide ribosomal RNA is filed under the name uncultured bacterium. Its description in RNAcentral is "partial 16S ribosomal RNA". It matches the Rfam family "Bacterial small subunit ribosomal RNA", at positions 523 to 918 of the family's 1533-position model. The record is from RNAcentral.
AUACGUAGGUGGCAAGCGUUGUCCGGAAUUAUUGGGCGUAAAGCGCGCGCAGGUGGUUCCUUAAGUCUGAUGUGAAAGCCCCCGGCUCAACCGGGGAGGGUCAUUGGAAACUGGGGAACUUGAGUGCAGAAGAGGAUAGUGGAAUUCCAAGUGUAGCGGUGAAAUGCGUAGAGAUUUGGAGGAACACCAGUGGCGAAGGCGACUGUCUGGUCUGUAACUGACACUGAGGCGCGAAAGCGUGGGGAGCAAACAGGAUUAGAUACCCUGGUAGUCCACGCCGUAAACGAUGAGUGCUAAGUGUUGGGGGGUUUCCGCCCCUCAGUGCUGCAACUAACGCAUUAAGCACUCCGCCUGGGGAGUACGGUCGCAAGACUGAAACUCAAAUGAAUUGACGGGG